This 402-nucleotide ribosomal RNA is filed under the name uncultured Bradyrhizobiaceae bacterium. Its description in RNAcentral is "bacterial SSU rRNA". It matches the Rfam family "Bacterial small subunit ribosomal RNA", at positions 355 to 774 of the family's 1533-position model. Lineage: Bacteria; Pseudomonadati; Pseudomonadota; Alphaproteobacteria; Hyphomicrobiales; Nitrobacteraceae. The record is from RNAcentral.
UGGGGAAUAUUGGACAAUGGGCGCAAGCCUGGUCCAGCCAUGCCGCGUGAGUGAUGAAGGCCCUAGGGUUGUAAAGCUCUUUUAACGGGGAAGAUAAUGACGGUACCCGUAGAAUAAGCCCCGGCUAACUUCGUGCCAGCAGCCGCGGUAAUACGAAGGGGGCUAGCGUUGCUCGGAAUCACUGGGCGUAAAGGGUGCGUAGGUGGAUCUUUAAGUCAGGGGUGAAAUCCUGGAGCUCAACUCCAGAACUGCCUUUGAUACUGAGGAUCUUGAGUUCGGGAGAGGUAAGUGGAACUGCGAGUGUAGAGGUGAAAUUCGUAGAUAUUCGCAAGAACACCAGUGGCGAAGGCGGCUUACUGGCCCGAUACUGACACUGAGGCACGAAAGCGUGGGGAGCAAACA